CACAGGUGGAGGACAGGUCACCGCCCCUCCCCGCGGCUCCCCGGGGAGUUUCGCUUCACACCGCGCUGGCUUCGUGCCCUGCGCGAGGUCCCAGCGCCAGGGGAGCUCGCUGCCGAGGCCAAAGGGGUUGGCAAUUCUGUAGCCUGAAAUCUCUGAAGAACAGAAAACCAAAGAAGACAGAGUAAAAGAGGAGAGAUCUGGGCUCAGGAACUGGAAAGAUUGCCACCAGGACUGAUCCAGGGAUCCCAUCUCCUUGGAUCUGUGAGAAAUUGUAGUAAAAUCAACACAAUUACACAGUCUGAAGCAGCCCAAGUAACUGCUCUCCCAAGAGAAAGCAGCACCUUUUACUCCACCUCCUUAUGACUAUGAGACAACACAGACUGCAAGCAAACAUUACAGACUGGGCUGAAUCCUGCAAUCACAAUGUAGACUCUCACUGAUUUCAAUGGGAAUUUUGUCAGUGUCGGCAGUUCAAGAUCAAGCCUUAUAAAAAUUCGUCAAGGACAAAGUUCAACAUACAACAAUAAAACUAUAGGAAAGAAUAGAGGAAAUUUGAGGAAAAAAGUAUUGAGAAAAUGCAAGUCACAUAAAAGUUUUUAAUGUUAAACUUCAGUGGUGCUCUUUCUACAGUCUUGAUCCUACUUCCAUUACACCAGUGGGUGCAGAAACAUAUCCUGGAUCAACCCACCCCAGGUUUAGAGGAUGCUCAGCCCAAUUUAUUACAAAAACUAUUGUUAGGAACCCAAUAGAGAGAGCUUUUGGUGCCUGGCAUGAAAGUAGAUGAGAGGGAUGCACUAACACAAUGCAAAAGCCCUGACUAAUGGCUCAAGAAAAGGAAUGUCAGCACAAAACGUUCAGCAUGAAAUAGUUUUUGUUAUUGAGACAAUUAUAACAACAAGAUGAACCCAACCUUCUGGUUUCUGUACUAUAUAUUACAAGUAGCUACUUUAUGGGUGACUUUUUAUUGCGCUUUUGCCUUGUCAAACAUCCUGAUUAGGCUUAUUUCCGAAGCCUGUUUGAACAGCCUGUCACUAUUUGUUUAAGUUUCAAACCUGUUUUAAAUAAACACAUGCCCAUUUUAUGUAUUAAAACAACAGAAGAGGGGGGCCUGCCCCCUGUUCCUAGUGAAAACUGCUUUUAAUGCCAAGAGAACUCUAAACUGUAUACAGAAUGUUCCAUAAGUUAGGUCUCUUUCUAUGUAUAUGUACAUUAGUACUUGGACUUUCGUAAUCUAAAUUGAUCUGA
Molecule: long non-coding RNA, 1245 nt
Organism: Mauremys mutica (yellowpond turtle)
Lineage: Eukaryota; Metazoa; Chordata; Testudines; Geoemydidae
Exons: 5
Source: RefSeq, a predicted model, not a curated record